GCUGCCGCCGGGAGGGCUCUGCUGCCUCGCCCCAGGGGGAAUCGGAGCAGGCUGGGGGAAGAGGAGGCUUUUUCUCGCCCAUCGCAAGGCUUGCACGGGAGCGUGAACGCGUUUUGCUUCCAGACAGAGGCAGCCCUGCACGAGCAUCACCGAGGCUAGCAGCACACUCACUGGCAACAGACCAUCCUCAUCCUCCCUGACACACUACUCCAGGCACCGAGCCAAGGGGACAGCUAUCAGUCCUGAGCUGGGCCACCAGGGCUGCUACGUUUGGAGAACAUCUGCAUAAAACUGCAGCCCCAUUCUGGUGCAGGCAGUGGCUGCAGCAGCCAGCGGGUAGAGCUCCAGAAGCUCCUCAGGCAAGUGUAUCUCCUCCGUGUGUAGGAGUAGCCGCUGACUGGUAGCAGCCCAAUUUCCAAGAACUCCCAAAAGUUACAAGCCUUCACAUCUUGCUGAAUCGGUGCAAGAUCCAGAGCAGCUCCACGCUCAGCAGCUCAGAGAGAGCAAAGAUCCGUGUCUCCAUAGCCAGAACCUCGGUGCUGAACACGAGUAUCUCCAUCCCCUCCUCCCGGAGAAGCUCUCUGGGAUUCCUGCACACAUGCCUGGCCCUAAUGAAAGGGCCCGGCGCCUCCCCAUCGCCCAGCCAGUUAAACCUGCACAAACUGAGCCCAUCGCACACAAAAAGCCUCUCCUGGGUAUCCCCCAGGGUUCAGCCCUGCUCCCCUUCUACACGGCUUCUCCAUGCUGCAAGAGCUUUCUUCAAGCUCAUGGUGUGCCUGGCACAGCAUCCCAGUGAACCCUGGCACAGCAUCCCAGUGAACCCUGGUGCA
This 830-nucleotide long non-coding RNA is filed under the name Cyanistes caeruleus (blue tit). RNAcentral's name for it is "lncRNA (ENSCCEG00000009447.1)". The record is from RNAcentral. Lineage: Eukaryota; Metazoa; Chordata; Aves; Passeriformes; Paridae.